RNAcentral lists this long non-coding RNA (540 nucleotides) under Cyanistes caeruleus (blue tit). RNAcentral describes it as "lncRNA (ENSCCEG00000018521.1)". The record is from RNAcentral. Lineage: Eukaryota; Metazoa; Chordata; Aves; Passeriformes; Paridae.
GUUAAUUCACAUAAGUAUUGCUACUUAGAUGAAGGGCCUUCUUUAUGUUGGACAGAAAAUGGUUUUGCUUUCUUAAUUUCUUGGCAAAGAGUCUAAUUGUAAUUGUUGCCAGAUGGGUGGUCUCAGAGAGGGUAGUACAGCUUACUCUGGAGACAUACAAGGAUAGCCUCUUCUUCCUGACACAGCCCAGAAGUGCUUCAAGCAGGACUCAAGGUUUGUAAUCUCCUGGUCUGUCAGAAGCAAGCCAUAAAGUAAUGUUUGAUGGCAAUCCGUGAGCUGAAACAACAGAGCUCUUUCUUUUUUUCUGCCAAAUAACAUGGCAGUCACCUCUAAGAUUUCUACACAAAAGAAUGUUCUAGUUGAUAUAAUUCUGGAUUACACUCAAUGUAUCACAAUCUGCCAGCAGAAAAAUAUAAUGACUUGCUAUUUUUUGAACCUAUUUUAAGAAAAAAAGAAUGAAAAAUAAUACUGUGAAAGUUGAAUGACCUUAACAAAUGCAAACAACAAGGUAAUGUUGAAAUUCAAAGAUGAAGAGCUGUG